UUAACUCAAAUUUGGAGUUGGAAUGUUUACCUACGUUUUCUGUUCGAUUUGCUGUUCCAACUGCAUACAAAUUUGAGUUA
RNAcentral lists this microRNA precursor (80 nucleotides) under Bombyx mori (domestic silkworm). Its description in RNAcentral is "mir-2807 microRNA precursor family". It matches the Rfam family "mir-2807 microRNA precursor family". Lineage: Eukaryota; Metazoa; Arthropoda; Insecta; Lepidoptera; Bombycidae. The record is from Rfam by way of RNAcentral.